GAUGAACGCUAGCGGCAGGCUUAACACAUGCAAGUCGAGGGGCAGCACAGGUAGCAAUACUGGGUGGCGACCGGCGCAAGGGUGCGUAACGCGUGAGCAACAUGCCCGUAUCAGGGGGAUAAUCCAUGGAAACGUGGUCUAAUACCCCAUAGUAAGUUUUUGAGGCAUCUCGAAGAUUUUAAAGCUUUGGUGGAUACGGAUUGGCUCGCGUGACAUUAGCUGGAUGGUAGGGUAACGGCUUACCAUGGCUACGAUGUCUAGGGGUUCUGAGAGGAAGGUCCCCCACACUGGAACUGAGACACGGUCCAGACUCCUACGGGAGGCAGCAGUGAGGAAUAUUGGACAAUGGAUGGAAAUCUGAUCCAGCCAUGCCGCGUGCAGGAAGACGGCCCUAUGGGUUGUAAACUGCUUUUGUAUGGGACAAUAAGAUCUACGUGUAGAUUGAUGAGAGUACCAUACGAAUAAGCACCGGCUAACUCCGU
Molecule: ribosomal RNA, 482 nt
Filed under: uncultured bacterium
Lineage: Bacteria
Description: bacterial SSU rRNA
Rfam family: Bacterial small subunit ribosomal RNA
Source: RNAcentral